Molecule: ribosomal RNA, 410 nt
Filed under: Escherichia coli
Lineage: Bacteria; Pseudomonadati; Pseudomonadota; Gammaproteobacteria; Enterobacterales; Enterobacteriaceae
Description: bacterial LSU rRNA
Rfam family: Bacterial large subunit ribosomal RNA
Source: RNAcentral
CAUCACAUCCUGGGGCUGAAGUAGGUCCCAAGGGUAUGGCUGUUCGCCAUUUAAAGUGGUACGCGAGCUGGGUUUAGAACGUCGUGAGACAGUUCGGUCCCUAUCUGCCGUGGGCGCUGGAGAACUGAGGGGGGCUGCUCCUAGUACGAGAGGACCGGAGUGGACGCAUCACUGGUGUUCGGGUUGUCAUGCCAAUGGCACUGCCCGGUAGCUAAAUGCGGAAGAGAUAAGUGCUGAAAGCAUCUAAGCACGAAACUUGCCCCGAGAUGAGUUCUCCCUGACUCCUUGAGAGUCCUGAAGGAACGUUGAAGACGACGACGUUGAUAGGCCGGGUGUGUAAGCGCAGCGAUGCGUUGAGCUAACCGGUACUAAUGAACCGUGAGGCUUAACCUUACAACGCCGAAGCUGUU